Molecule: long non-coding RNA, 935 nt
Filed under: Taeniopygia guttata (zebra finch)
Lineage: Eukaryota; Metazoa; Chordata; Aves; Passeriformes; Estrildidae
Description: lncRNA (ENSTGUG00000025567.1)
Source: RNAcentral
AUGGCCAGAAGGAUGUGGAGCCUGCAUGAAAGGCUCGUGGAGCUCCUGCAGGAAAAUGACGGCGUCAUGCUCAGGAUGACCACGGUUCUCCUCAGAGCUGUAUUUCUCUGCAAAGAGGCCCCAAUGACCAGCACCCUCGCCCUGCAGCUGGCUGAGGCGCUCCUGCCACUCUUUGACAACGAGGAUAGCCAGGUGCAGUUGAGCUCCAUGUUUAUCUUCCGAGACAUGCUGGAUCGUUUUCCGGAAGAGGAAAGAAAGGCCCUGAAGGCACACGUGCGCCAGAGCCUGCUGCCACUCUCCUUCCACUGCCAUGAUGAGAACCAGCGAGUGGCAGAGGCUUCUCAGGAAACGCUGCUUUGUGCGGCCGAGUUCCUGAAGCAGAGGGAUCUCGAAAAGCUGCUGAAGAACCAGAAGCCGUGGAAGUUCACCGAGUGCCUGCUGGCAGAGGACAGCAGCAGCGUGGCCGAGCACCUGCGCCGGGCCCUGCCCUACCUGCAGAGCCCACAGGAGCCCCUGCGAGAGGCGCCGUCAGGUUCAUGGGUGAGCCACGAGCCGGGCCAGGAGGCCGUGUGGGCACAGGGCUGGCAGCGCCGCUGGCAGGGAGCUGUGCCGCCGGGCCUGACAGGCUCUGUGUUCCCAGGGACGGCCGGGCGGUACCUGAGGGGGAGGAAGGAAGAGCUCCAGCUCAUCUCUGAGGCCCUUGAAGGCAUGGCCAAUGACAUCAGUGUCCCUGUCGCAAGCCUGGCAGUUCAAACAUUGUACGUCCUCCAGGAAGCAGAGAGAGCUCCAUACUCCAUCUUUGACAAUCUGCAUGAUCGGCUCCGCAGGGCAUGGAGGAGACGGCCUCGUCUGUCGGGGCUCGGCUGGCUGCGCUGCUGGAGCUCUGCAGAGAGCUGAUCCCAGAGGCUCUGUCUGCUGGGGCCGCCCGAGCCAGC